Molecule: non-coding RNA, 306 nt
Organism: Camellia sinensis
Lineage: Eukaryota; Viridiplantae; Streptophyta; Magnoliopsida; Ericales; Theaceae
Source: RefSeq, a predicted model, not a curated record
AAUCCUUCAUCUACUUUUCAGGUUGGGACUCGUCUAAUUGAAUUACUGUUGCAAACUGCCUAUAUACAGCCUCGGGCUGAUCAGUUAGCUGAUGGUCCACCUGAUAUUCGACCUGCGUUUGUACACUCAUUAAAAACUGUAGUGAAAGAAAAGAACAUCGGCAGAAGAUAUGGUGUCAUUGAAUGUGAUCCACUAGUUCGCAAGGGCCUCGAAAGAACUUUGGGAGCAACUGCUGUCAAUUUGGUUGCUGGAGAAAAACCUGCUGAUGUUUACUAAGGAAUAGCUGCUAGGUAAGUAGCUUUUUCA